RNAcentral lists this ribosomal RNA (252 nucleotides) under uncultured bacterium. Its description in RNAcentral is "partial 16S ribosomal RNA". It matches the Rfam family "Bacterial small subunit ribosomal RNA", at positions 524 to 776 of the family's 1533-position model. The record is from RNAcentral.
UACGGAGGGUGCAAGCGUUAUCCGGAUUCACUGGGUUUAAAGGGUGCGUAGGCGGGCAGGUAAGUCAGUGGUGAAAUCUCCGGGCUUAACCCGGAACUGCCGUUGAUACUAUCCGUCUUGAAUAUCGUGGAGGUAAGCGGAAUAUGUCAUGUAGCGGUGAAAUGCUUAGAUAUGACAUAGAACACCCAUUGCGAAGGCAGCUUACUACACGAUCAUUGACGCUGAGGCACGAAAGCGUGGGGAGCAAACAGG